GUGGAUUAGAUACCCUGGUAGUCCACGCCGUAAACGAUGAUCACUCGCUGUUGGCGAUACACAGUCAGCGGCUAAGCAAAAGCAUUAAGUGAUCCACCUGGGGAGUACGGCCGCAAGGCUGAAACUCAAAGGAAUUGACGGGGGCCCGCACAAGCGGAGGAACAUGUGGUUUAAUUCGAUGAUACGCGAGGAACCUUACCUGGGCUUAAAUGUAUAGUGCAUUCUGCCGAAAAGCAGAUUUCCUUCGGGACUCUAUGCAAGGUGCUGCACGGCUGUCGUCAACU
Molecule: ribosomal RNA, 284 nt
Filed under: uncultured bacterium
Lineage: Bacteria
Description: partial 16S ribosomal RNA
Rfam family: Bacterial small subunit ribosomal RNA
Source: RNAcentral